AGAGUUUGAUCCUGGCUCAGAACGAACGCUGGCGGCGUGCUUAACACAUGCAAGUCGAACGUGAUUGAGAGCUUGCUCUCAUGAAAGUGGCGCACGGGUGAGUAACACGUGGAUAAUCUGCCUGGCGAUUCGGGAUAACACUUCGAAAGGGGUGCUAAUGCCGGAUAAGCCCACGGUCUCUUCGGAGAGCGCGGGAAAAGGGGGCCUCUGUAUAUGCUCCUGUCGCUAGAUGAGUCCGCGGCCCAUUAGCUAGUUGGUGGGGUAAAGGCCUACCAAGGCGACGAUCAGUAGCCGGCCUGAGAGGGUGAACGGCCACACUGGGACUGAGACACGGCCCAGACUCCUACGGGAGGCAGCAGUGGGGAAUUUUGCGCAAUGGGGGAAACCCUGACGCAGCAACGCCGCGUGAGUGAUGAAGGCUUUCGGGUCGUAAAGCUCUGUCAGAGGGGAAGAAAUGAGAUUGGCUAAUAUCCAAUUUUCUUGACGGUACCCUCAAAGGAAGCACCGGCUAACUCCGUGCCAGCAGCCGCGGUAAUAC
This 538-nucleotide ribosomal RNA is filed under the name uncultured Geobacter sp. RNAcentral describes it as "bacterial SSU rRNA". It matches the Rfam family "Bacterial small subunit ribosomal RNA", at positions 8 to 526 of the family's 1533-position model. Lineage: Bacteria; Pseudomonadati; Thermodesulfobacteriota; Desulfuromonadia; Geobacterales; Geobacteraceae. The record is from RNAcentral. RNAcentral also lists the same sequence under 1 other name.